AUUGAACGCUGGCGGCAGGCCUAACACAUGCAAGUCGAACGAGUGGCGGACGGGUGAGUAAUGUCUGGGAAACUGCCCGAUGGAGGGGGAUAACUACUGGAAACGGUAGCUAAUACCGCAUACCAUCGGAUGUGCCCAGAUGGGAUUAGCUUGUAGGUGAGGUAACGGCUCACCUAGGCGACGAUCCCUAGCUGGUCUGAAAGGAUGACCAGCCACACUGGAACAAGUACACGGUACAGACUCCGACGGGAGCAAGGAGGAGGGAAUAGUGCAGAAGGGACGCAAGUAUGAUGGAGUCAUGACGGGGGAAUGAAGAAGGCGUUCGGAUUAUAAAGUACUUGCAGCGUGGAGGCGUAGCCCAAAGAAGAAGCACCGGCUAAAUCCGGGCCAGCAGCCGCGGUAAUUC
Molecule: ribosomal RNA, 406 nt
Filed under: uncultured bacterium
Lineage: Bacteria
Description: partial 16S ribosomal RNA
Rfam family: Bacterial small subunit ribosomal RNA
Source: RNAcentral